Molecule: long non-coding RNA, 309 nt
Organism: Labrus mixtus (cuckoo wrasse)
Lineage: Eukaryota; Metazoa; Chordata; Actinopteri; Labriformes; Labridae
Exons: 2
Source: RefSeq, a predicted model, not a curated record
GUUACAAAAAGUGUGGUUUCUACAUUUAUACAUUGUAGAAAUGUGAUGAUAAGCAUGACUGCCGUGUCUUACAGAUGUUUUCCCACUUUCCUAACAAUGUGCCACUGGACUCUGUGCAUUUUUUCACAGCUUGCACGAUUGAGGGUUUAUGUCUCACUUUUUUAAAAUCAUAUAUCUAUAUAAGUGAAUCAUCGUAUUAAUACAAUAAUUAUGGAAAAUAAUAGCUGCCCCAGCCAACCAAAUUAAAUACAAUAAGGAUACAUAGACCCUUUACAUUCAGCUGAUACAACAGAGAGAAAUAAAUCUCAA